This 823-nucleotide ribosomal RNA is filed under the name uncultured Bacteroidota bacterium. Its description in RNAcentral is "bacterial SSU rRNA". It matches the Rfam family "Bacterial small subunit ribosomal RNA", at positions 53 to 869 of the family's 1533-position model. Lineage: Bacteria; Pseudomonadati; Bacteroidota. The record is from RNAcentral.
ACAUGCAAGUCGCGGGGCAGCAUGGGGGUUGCUUGCAAUCCCCGAUGGCGACCGGCGCACGGGUGAGUAACGCGUAUCCAACCUGCCCUUCACCACGGGAUAACCCGGCGAAAGUCGGACUAAUACCGUAUGUUGUCCAUUGACGGCAUCCGAUUUGGACGAAAGGCUCUGCGGUGAAGGAUGGGGAUGCGUCCGAUUAGCCAGACGGCGGGGUAACGGCCCACCGUGGCUACGAUCGGUAGGGGUUCUGAGAGGAAGGUCCCCCACACUGGAACUGAGACACGGUCCAGACUCCUACGGGAGGCAGCAGUGAGGAAUAUUGGUCAAUGGGCGUAAGCCUGAACCAGCCAAGUAGCGUGCAGGAUGACGGCCCUAUGGGUUGUAAACUGCUUUUAUGCGGGGAUAAAGUGGCCCACGUGAGGGUUUUUGCAGGUACCGCAUGAAUAAGGACCGGCUAAUUCCGUGCCAGCAGCCGCGGUAAUACGGAAGGUCCGGGCGUUAUCCGGAUUUAUUGGGUUUAAAGGGAGCGUAGGCCGCGCCUUAAGCGUGUUGUGAAAUCCGGGUGCUCAACAUCCGGCUUGCAGCGCGAACUGGGGCGCUUGAGUGCGCUGAAAGUAGGCGGAAUUCGUGGUGUAGCGGUGAAAUGCUUAGAUAUCACGAGGAACUCCGAUUGCGAAGGCAGCCUACUGUAGCGCUACUGACGCUGAUGCUCGAAAGCGUGGGUAUCGAACAGGAUUAGAUACCCUGGUAGUCCACGCGGUAAACGAUGGAUGCUCGUUGUCGGCCCCUUGGGUCGGUGACCAAGCGAAAGCGUUAAGCAUCC